Molecule: long non-coding RNA, 693 nt
Organism: Hyla sarda
Lineage: Eukaryota; Metazoa; Chordata; Amphibia; Anura; Hylidae
Exons: 3
Source: RefSeq, a predicted model, not a curated record
ACAAUUUUAAGUUAAAAAAAAAAAAAAAAGGAAUUCCUGACUGAGCCGCUUUGUCAUAUUGAUUUCUUUCCAGGGAUAAAUGGUUUCUGUUCUAUUAAUACAGAGGAGACUUCACUGCACGGACUGUGCAGGUUCUGUAGGAUCCUGUCCGGCAUCAUAUUUCUUUAGGGGAAACGUCUCCAUCAAGUGAAUUUCAUAACACAAAUCUGUCUCUGUUCCUAUAAAUCAUCAAUCGGUGACGCUCAUUGAUCCUGGCAUUACUGUUCACAAAAGAAUUGCCUGUAGGAGGAGAAAUCCCUGCACUGUCCAGUAGAGGGCCAGAGACCUGCACAGCCUGACACCAGCCGCUGCUCAAUGUAUAAUGUGUGAUGGCACAAUAAGGCGCUGUUCACUUCUAUGCUGAAGCUUCUGUUUACUGGAUGCAGCUCUGGAGGCAACCAAAGCACCCCAGAAGAAGCCUGAAGAAAGAUCUGAAGAUGAAGUGAAUGGAUAUUGUAGACUACAAACAUCUAUGUAUUCCACUGCCCCUAUUUUCUGACGACAGAUACCAAGGGAAAGGAGAAGGAUCGGGAACUGCACUGACAGCAAAUUGAUAGAUGGCAAAUUGACCAAUUGGCCAUGGAAAGCAAAUGGAAAAUAAACACCAGACCUGUGUCCUGGGGGGCAAAAGCAAAGACAAAGAUGCCAUAAAAG